RNAcentral lists this microRNA precursor (93 nucleotides) under Pelobates cultripes (western spadefoot toad). The record is from RNAcentral. Lineage: Eukaryota; Metazoa; Chordata; Amphibia; Anura; Pelobatidae.
CUCCAGAUGUUGCUGAACUACAACUCCCAUGAUUCUCAUACUAUCUAUGUCAUUCAUAGAAUCAUGGGAGUUGUAGUUCAGCAACAUCUGGAG